AACAAACGCUGGCGGCGUGUCUUAAGCAUGCAAGUUGAGCGGCAAGGAGGAGGAAUCCUCCCUAGAGCGGCGGACUGGUGAGUAACGCGUGGGUAAUCUAUCAUAGGCAUGGGGAUAGUCACUAGAAAUAGUGGGUAAUACCGAAUACGUUCCAUGAGGGGAGUAUUCAUGGAAGAAAGGGUGCUACGGCACUGGCCUUAGGUGAGCUCGCGUCCCAUUAGCUAGUUGGUGAGGUAAAGGCCCACCAAGGCGAUGAUGGGUAGCCGGCCUGAGAGGGUGUACGGCCACACUGGGACUGAGAUACGGCCCAGACUCCUACGGGAGCAGCAGUCGAGAAUAGUCUACAAUGGCCGGAAGGCUGAUAGUGCGACGCCGCGUGAACGAGGGAGCCCUUCGGGGUGUAAAGUUCUUUUCUAUACGAGCAGUGCUAUAUAUAUGGAUAGUAUAUAUAGAGGGAUAGUAGUAUAGGAAUAAGCAACGGCUAACUCCGUG
This 492-nucleotide ribosomal RNA is filed under the name uncultured bacterium. RNAcentral describes it as "bacterial SSU rRNA". It matches the Rfam family "Bacterial small subunit ribosomal RNA", at positions 29 to 507 of the family's 1533-position model. The record is from RNAcentral.